GACGAACGCUGGCGGCGUGCUUAACACAUGCAAGUCGAACGGAAAGGCCCUGCUUUUGUGGGGUGCUCGAGUGGCGAACGGGUGAGUAACACGUGAGUAACCUGCCCUUGACUUUGGUAUAACUUCAGGAAACUGGGGCUAAUACCGGAUAGGAGCUCCUGCUGCAUGGUGGGGGUUGGAAAGUUUCGGCGGUUGGGGAUGGACUCGCGGCUUAUCAGCUUGUUGGUGGGGUAGUGGCUUACCAAGGCUUUGACGGGUAGCCGGCCUGAGAGGGUGACCGGCGACAAUGGGACUGAGAUACGGCCCAGACUCCUACGGGAGGCAGCAGUGGGGAAUAUUGCACAAUGGGAGGAAGCCUGAUGCAGCAACGCCGCGUGCGGGAUGACGGCCUGCGGGUUGUAAACCGCUUUCGCCUGUGACGAAGCGUGAGUGACGGUAAUGGGUAAAGAAGCACCGGCUAACUACGUG
RNAcentral lists this ribosomal RNA (468 nucleotides) under uncultured bacterium. RNAcentral's name for it is "partial 16S ribosomal RNA". It matches the Rfam family "Bacterial small subunit ribosomal RNA", at positions 28 to 507 of the family's 1533-position model. The record is from RNAcentral.